AGAGUUUGAUCCUGGCUCAGGACGAACGCUGGCGGCGUGCCUAAUACAUGCAAGUAGAACGCUGAAGAGAGGAGCUUGCUCUUCUUGGAUGAGUUGCGAACGGGUGAGUAACGCGUAGGUAACCUGCCUUGUAGCGGGGGAUAACUAUUGGAAACGAUAGCUAAUACCGCAUAACAAUGGAUGACACAUGUCAUUUAUUUGAAAGGGGCAAUUGCUCCACUACAAGAUGGACCUGCGUUGUAUUAGCUAGUAGGUGAGGUAACGGCUCACCUAGGCGACGAUACAUAGCCGACCUGAGAGGGUGAUCGGCCACACUGGGACUGAGACACGGCCCAGACUCCUACGGGAGGCAGCAGUAGGGAAUCUUCGGCAAUGGGGGCAACCCUGACCGAGCAACGCCGCGUGAGUGAAGAAGGUUUUCGGAUCGUAAAGCUCUGUUGUAAGUCAAGAACGAGUGUGAGAGUGGAAAGUUCACACUGUGACGGUAGCUUACCAGAAAGGGACGGCUAACUACGUGCCAGCAGCCGCGGUAAUACGUAGGUCCCGAGCGUUGUCCGGAUUUAUUGGGCGUAAAGCGAGCGCAGGCGGUUUGAUAAGUCUGAAGUUAAAGGCUGUGGCUCAACCAUAGUUUGCUUUGGAAACUGUCAAACUUGAGUGCAGAAGGGGAGAGUGGAAUUCCAUGUGUAGCGGUGAAAUGCGUAGAUAUAUGGAGGAACACCGGUGGCGAAAGCGGCUCUCUGGUCUGUAACUGACGCUGAGGCUCGAAAGCGUGGGGAGCGAACAGGAUUAGAUACCCUGGUAGUCCACGCCGUAAACGAUGAGUGCUAGGUGUUGGAUCCUUUCCGGGAUUCAGUGCCGCAGCUAACGCAUUAAGCACUCCGCCUGGGGAGUACGACCGCAAGGUUGAAACUCAAAGGAAUUGACGGGGGCCCGCACAAGCGGUGGAGCAUGUGGUUUAAUUCGAAGCAACGCGAAGAACCUUACCAGGUCUUGACAUCCCGAUGCUAUUUCUAGAGAUAGAAAGUUACUUCGGUACAUCGGUGACAGGUGGUGCAUGGUUGUCGUCAGCUCGUGUCGUGAGAUGUUGGGUUAAGUCCCGCAACGAGCGCAACCCCUAUUGUUAGUUGCCAUCAUUCAGUUGGGCACUCUAGCGAGACUGCCGGUAAUAAACCGGAGGAAGGUGGGGAUGACGUCAAAUCAUCAUGCCCCUUAUGACCUGGGCUACACACGUGCUACAAUGGUUGGUACAACGAGUUGCAAGUCGGUGACGGCAAGCUAAUCUCUUAAAGCCAAUCUCAGUUCGGAUUGUAGGCUGCAACUCGCCUACAUGAAGUCGGAAUCGCUAGUAAUCGCGGAUCAGCACGCCGCGGUGAAUACGUUCCCGGGCCUUGUACACACCGCCCGUCACACCACGAGAGUUUGUAACACCCGAAGUCGGUGAGGUAACCUUUUGGAGCCAGCCGCCUAAGGUGGGAUAGAUGAUUGGGGUGAAGUCGUAACAAGGUAGCCGUAUCGGAAGGUGCGGCUG
This 1528-nucleotide ribosomal RNA is filed under the name Streptococcus salivarius. RNAcentral's name for it is "bacterial SSU rRNA". It matches the Rfam family "Bacterial small subunit ribosomal RNA". The record is from RNAcentral. Lineage: Bacteria; Bacillati; Bacillota; Bacilli; Lactobacillales; Streptococcaceae.